RNAcentral lists this ribosomal RNA (1641 nucleotides) under Clonostachys rosea. RNAcentral's name for it is "eukaryotic LSU rRNA". The stretch from base 1 to 541 matches the Rfam family "Eukaryotic small subunit ribosomal RNA", at positions 1267 to 1831 of the family's 1831-position model. Lineage: Eukaryota; Fungi; Ascomycota; Sordariomycetes; Hypocreales; Bionectriaceae. The record is from RNAcentral.
UUUGUGGGUGGUGGUGCAUGGCCGUUCUUAGUUGGUGGAGUGAUUUGUCUGCUUAAUUGCGAUAACGAACGAGACCUUAACCUGCUAACUAGCCCGUAUUGCUUUGGCAGUACGCUGGCUUCUUAGAGGGACUAUCGCUCAAGCCGAUGGAAGUUUGAGGCAAUAACAGGUCUGUGAUGCCCUUAGAUGUUCUGGGCCGCACGCGCGCUACACUGACGGAGCCAGCGAGUACUCCCUUGGCCGAAAGGCCUGGGUAAUCUUGUUAAACUCCGUCGUGCUGGGGAUAGAGCAUUGCAAUUAUUGCUCUUCAACGAGGAAUCCCUAGUAAGCGCAAGUCAUCAGCUUGCGUUGAUUACGUCCCUGCCCUUUGUACACACCGCCCGUCGCUACUACCGAUUGAAUGGCUCAGUGAGGCGUCCGGACUGGCCCAGAGAGGAGGGAAACCACCACUCAGGGCCGGAAAGCUCUCCAAACUCGGUCAUUUAGAGGAAGUAAAAGUCGUAACAAGGUCUCCGUUGGUGAACCAGCGGAGGGAUCAUUACCGAGUUUACAACUCCCAAACCCAUGUGAACAUACCUACUGUUGCUUCGGCGGGAUUGCCCCGGGCGCCUCGUGUGCCCCGGAUCAGGCGCCCGCCUAGGAAACUUAAUUCUUGUUUUAUUUUGGAAUCUUCUGAGUAGUUUUUACAAAUAAAUAAAAACUUUCAACAACGGAUCUCUUGGUUCUGGCAUCGAUGAAGAACGCAGCGAAAUGCGAUAAGUAAUGUGAAUUGCAGAAUUCAGUGAAUCAUCGAAUCUUUGAACGCACAUUGCGCCCGCCAGUAUUCUGGCGGGCAUGCCUGUCUGAGCGUCAUUUCAACCCUCAUGCCCCUAGGGCGUGGUGUUGGGGAUCGGCCAAAGCCCGCGAGGGACGGCCGGCCCCUAAAUCUAGUGGCGGACCCGUCGUGGCCUCCUCUGCGAAGUAGUGAUAUUCCGCAUCGGAGAGCGACGAGCCCCUGCCGUUAAACCCCCAACUUUCCAAGGUUGACCUCAGAUCAGGUAGGAAUACCCGCUGAACUUAAGCAUAUCAAUAAGCGGAGGAAAAGAAACCAACAGGGAUUGCCCUAGUAACGGCGAGUGAAGCGGCAACAGCUCAAAUUUGAAAUCUGGCGCAAGCCCGAGUUGUAAUUUGUAGAGGAUGUUUCUGGCGACGUGCCUUCCGAGUUCCCUGGAACGGGACGCCAUAGAGGGUGAGAGCCCCGUACGGUUGGAUGCCUAGCCUCUGUGAAACUCCUUCGACGAGUCGAGUAGUUUGGGAAUGCUGCUCUAAAUGGGAGGUAUACGUCUUCUAAAGCUAAAUACCGGCCAGAGACCGAUAGCGCACAAGUAGAGUGAUCGAAAGAUGAAAAGCACUUUGAAAAGAGGGUUAAAAAGUACGUGAAAUUGUUGAAAGGGAAGCGUUCAUGACCAGACUUGGGCAGGUUGAUCAUCCGUGGUUCUCCGCGGUGCACUCUGCCUGCCCAGGCCAGCAUCAGUUCGCCCCGGGGGAUAAAGGCUUUGGGAAUGUGGCUCCCUCGGGAGUGUUAUAGCCCACUGUGUAAUACCCUGGGGUGGACUGAGGUUCGCGCUCUGCAAGGAUGCUGGCGUAAUGGUCAUCAACGAC